Molecule: ribosomal RNA, 350 nt
Filed under: uncultured bacterium
Lineage: Bacteria
Description: bacterial SSU rRNA
Rfam family: Bacterial small subunit ribosomal RNA
Source: RNAcentral
UCGGCGCUAAUACCUCAUAAUGCAGCGGAUCCGCAUGGAUAUGUUGUUAAGGUUUACCGCCUUGGGAUAGGCUUGCGUCUGAUUAGCUAGUUGGUGUGGUAAUGGCACACCAAGGCUACGAUCAGUAACUGGUCUGAGAGGAUGAUCAGUCACACUGGAACUGAGACACGGUCCAGACUCCUACGGGAGGCAGCAGUGAGGAAUAUUGGGCAAUGCACGAAAGUGUGACCCAGCAACGCCGCGUGGAGGAUGAAGGUAUCCUAUAUCGUAAACUCCUGUGAGAGCAGACGAAAGACAGAUUAUUAAUUUGGAUGACUGUAUGCUCAGAGGAAGCCCCGGCUAACUACGUG